Molecule: RNA transcript, 2389 nt
Organism: Camelina sativa (false flax)
Lineage: Eukaryota; Viridiplantae; Streptophyta; Magnoliopsida; Brassicales; Brassicaceae
Source: RefSeq, a predicted model, not a curated record
UCUGAUUUCAGGAUUUCAUGGCAAUCCCGCCAAUCGUCACAAUUUCCUUUUUUUAGGGUUAUGUUUAUUUUUCUUCAGGGAAGGAGUGUGUGAGAGAGAGAGAUGGAGUUCAGUAUCAGUGGCAAUGCGCUGAAGACCUUCGCUAGAUCUAUAACAUGCCUCGCACGCGUCGGCAACGAGCUCGUUGUUCAAGCUUCGCCGACACAGCUGGCAUUGCACACUUUAAAUGCUUCACGGUCUGCCUACCAGUGUAUUACAUUUCAGUCAAGUUUCUUCGAUGUAUGUACUGUUUCUGGUCCUCAAGCUCAUUUCAGUGUACUUUUGAAGGCUGUUUGUUCUGUUCUUAGGACUCCUCUCGCGAGCAUUGAUCACAUGAGUGUGCAGUUGCCAGAUCAUGAUGCAUCUAAGGUCAAAUGGACUUUGGAAUGUUUCAGUGGUAUGAAGAAAACAUAUUGGAUUACUUGCAAUGUGGAACCCGAUAUACAGCAUCUGUCGCUUGAUAGGAGUAGAUUUCCAAGUACCUUAGUUGUUCAUCCUCGAAAUCUGAGCAAGUUGCUUGGAAACUUUCAGUCAUCCCUCCAAGAGAUUACAAUAAUUGCUACAGACCAAGCUUCUUUUCCCUCUGAUGCUGCGAGUGAAAUAGGUGGAAAAGCUGUUGAGUUCCGGAGCUAUGUGGAUCCGAACAAAGAUGGCGACUCUUUGUUACACACUCAGCUAUGGAUAGAUCCAUCAGAAGAAUUUAUACAGUAUACUCAUGCAGGUGAUCCUGUUGACAUCACAUUUUCCCUGAAGGAACUAAAGGCAUUUCUUUCAUUCUGUGAGGGAUGUGAAGCCGACAUUCAUCUUUUCUUCGAAAAAUCUGGCGAACCAAUAUUGAUGGCUCCAAAAUUCGGGUUGGGUGAUGGGUCAAGCUCAAGUUUUGAUGCAACACUCGUUCUUGCGACAAUGCUUAUGUCUCAACUUCAGGAAGGGAUUCCGCAAGAACCUCCUGAAGCAGCAAAUUCCACAGGUAGUCAUGCUGCCGAGCAAGUAGGAUCACAGCCUCAUGAACGGUCUAGGCAGAAUGCCUCUGGGCACCCAUCUGAUCACACACGAGUUUGGUCUGAACUUUCAGCAGGAAUUGCCACUAAGAGUUCUGAGGAUAGGCCACAAGCUCAGGGACAACCAGACUUGGAUAUCCAAAGAAUUAGGGAUAUGGGAAUAUCAAAAGACGGGCCAGCUGGGAAUACUGCUCCUGCAGCUCCUAACUCCCAACGUCCCACACAGAUAGGUCACACUGAAGUAUCCCAAGGACGGGUACAGAACAACCAAACUUUCUCCCAGCGCCAUCCUAGUAAUUGGGUAGAUGUAAAUGAGGAUGAAGACGAUGAAGAAGGUGUUGAGGCGACGCCACCUCACAAUGAAGAUUAUUAACUCAUUCCGUUGAAGUUUUCUUCAACUCAUUCAACUGAAAAGGGAUCCGAAGAAGAUCAUGGAAACAGAACAGAACAUUUACGUGUUAGGUGCUUCAUCCACUACAAUCAAACUUGAUCCUUUCUUGGCUUAACUUCUGAAUGGCGUGCUGUGUUGUUCCAGUCAUGUUUGUUUGUUAUGCAUUUGCUUUCUCUAUCUAACUUGACAUAAAACUAGAAUGCCAACAAACCAUGAAUCUCUGCAUCUACACAUAAAUUCUUACUCCACCCAUCCUUUUGCUUUUCAUCCAACACACAACUUACAAAAGUGCCCAUACAUGUAUGUCAAACUUCAAAUACAUUAUCAUCUCUUUUUUACUUAGACCAUGAUUGUUUUAAAUACAAACGCAAACCUUUAUUUUGUCAGUUUGUUUAAAGGAAAACACAAUUAUGAGAGAAGGUUUUUUCAUGAAUUGAAUCCCCUAUAAAAAAGCAAAUGAGACAGAAUAAAAUGAGUCAUAAUUUCUAAAUGUUCUUCAAAGGUACCAACCACUCUAUCUCUCUUUAUAAGAUUAAAUAAGUAAAAGAUGGCGAACAAGUCCAAUAAAGGGACAAUUAUAAAAUUAUUUUUCUUUCUUUCUUCUUUUUAUAAUAAUCUUAUAGAAAUAUCAAACUUUGGGAAUUGGCUAUAAUAAUAUAGUCUUCGUUUUUAAUUUAAAGAGACCUCUCUCUUUUAAAAAAGAAAGGUUGGGUCUAGUUGAGAAAGAGGUUCUCCAUAACUUGGAAUCUUUGUUUUUCUUCUCUUUUUGAUUUCCUCAUCAUUGGUAUCUUAUUCGUGAUAGCCUCAUACAAAAAGUAAUGAGAUUUAGCUUUGCAUUACACUUUCGUGUUUAUGUAUAUUCUUAUUCAUAAAUUAUUUUCGGUUGCAUCAAUUAUUUCCGUGUGAUAAGUUUCAAUCUCGUGCUGUGUUUCUUGAAAACAAAAUAUAAACAUUUGUC